RNAcentral lists this ribosomal RNA (492 nucleotides) under uncultured bacterium. RNAcentral's name for it is "bacterial SSU rRNA". It matches the Rfam family "Bacterial small subunit ribosomal RNA", at positions 29 to 501 of the family's 1533-position model. The record is from RNAcentral.
AAUCAACGCUGGCGGCGUGCCUAACACAUGCAAGUCGAACGCGAAAGGGACUUCGGUCCUGAGUAGAGUGGCGAACGGGUGAGUAACGCGUGGGUGACCUACCCUCGAGUGGGGGAUAACGUUCCGAAAGGGACGCUAAUACCGCAUGACAUUCCGGGUUUGAAGACCUGGAAAUCAAAGCCGGGGACCGCAAGGCCUGGCGCUAGAGGAGGGGCCCGCGUCUGAUUAGCUAGUUGGCGGGGUAAUGGCCCACCAAGGCGACGAUCAGUAGCCGGCCUGAGAGGGCGGACGGCCACACUGGGACUGAGACACGGCCCAGACUCCUACGGGAGGCAGCAGUGGGGAAUUGUUCGCAAUGGGCGAAAGCCUGACGACGCAACGCCGCGUGGAGGAUGAAGGUCUUCGGAUUGUAAACUCCUGUUGAUCGGGACGAAAAGCUUCAACCCAAUACGUUGAAGACUGACGGUACCGGUUGAGGAAGCCACGGCUAAC